Molecule: transfer RNA, 75 nt
Filed under: Aesopia cornuta
Lineage: Eukaryota; Metazoa; Chordata; Actinopteri; Pleuronectiformes; Soleidae
Description: tRNA-Lys
Rfam family: tRNA
About the family: Transfer RNA (tRNA) molecules are approximately 80 nucleotides in length. Their secondary structure includes four short double-helical elements and three loops (D, anti-codon, and T loops).
Source: RNAcentral
CACCAAGAUGCUAAACUGGUUAUAAGCAUUAGCCUUUUAAGCUAAAAACUGGUGACUACCGCCCACCCUUGGUGA